This is a long non-coding RNA of Myotis brandtii (Brandt's bat), 94 nucleotides long. RefSeq lists it as uncharacterized. The transcript has 3 exons. NCBI's taxonomy places the organism in Eukaryota, Metazoa, Chordata, Mammalia, Chiroptera, Vespertilionidae. The record is from RefSeq and is a predicted model, not a curated record.
CUCUAAGCUUUGUUUCUCCAUCUGUUAAAUGAGGAUAACAAUUAUUUUAAUUACGAUAACAGCUGACAUUUGGGAAGAGACAGGUCUGAACUCC